UUUUUUUUUUUUUUUUUUUUUUUUUUUUUUUAUGUGAACACUUUACCAAAAUUUCACAAAGCCUGGUUUGGGUAAGGCUUCCCAAAACUUUCUAAGAAUUGUUCGUGGAACCAUCGAAUUGUCCUUCCUCCCAAGAAAAUUCCAUGCACAUAACAGCCCUUGUCCACCCUUCCAUCCACCAGUCACACCAGAGUGGCAGAGUUUGGGCAGAAAUUGACUUUCACUGCAGCUACACAUGUAGUGCAAUUCUCCUGCUCACUAUAAGAAUGACAACAUAGGAAUAAAGAGUGAGACCCAUGACACCUGCAGUCAUACAAAAUGCUCAGACAUUCAAUAGUCACUAUUCUGCAUAUCCUUGGAUAACUUGAAAAAAGCUCAGCUCAGCUUUCAAACCUGCUUUUCAUCUUGUCAUUGUGGAAUAAAUUCCUUUCUCUUUCACACAGGGUCUUUUUGUUUUUUUCCCUUACUACAUCCAGCAUAAUAAUGAACCCCAUCACUUCAGUUUUGAUUGAUUCAUGUUUCUAUAUCACAGUGAGGAAUUUAAUUUAAGCAAAGUUGUCGCAUUUUGUUUGUCAGCGCAGCACAUGCGGACAAGACUAACUGCCUGGAAAGUCUUAAAGCGGAUUUUUUCAAAAAUUUUGGUUGAUUAUACAUUUCUGUGGAAAGCAACAGAAAUAUUUUAUCAGAUAAUUUAUAGAAAAAAGAAUCUUGGAUAGACAGAAAAACAGAGGCACUUAUUAAAUAUUAUAUGGCUUUUAUCACAGUCCUUAAUUAUGUUUUUCUACUUUAUCUAUAUACCUGUCAUUUCUGUUUGAGAAUAAAAGAAAAAAACUCUUCUGGAAAAUAUGAAAAAUCACGCUCCAAACACAAGUGUACUUGAUAAAAGAUGCAAGUCUGUCCAGGGAUUCAUGAUUGAAUGACUCCUUAAAAUCAGAGAAUUAUGGAAAUUGACAAAUUUGUUGCAAAUACUGAUUUGUUGAGUGCUAUUUGACAUGUAGAACUAUAGUUCACAUCAAUUUGUUCAGCAUCACUAAUGUGUCCUGCAUAUACAUUACCUGCAGAGCUUUUAGAUCCAUAUAACAUGGCUGCAUCAGUGGGCAGUGGUUUAAGGAAAUAAGAUUAGCUUGAUUCUAAGUCCCAGUGUCUAAAUAAAUUACUUCAGCUUCAAGACAUCACAUUAGAUGACAUCCCAGACAAAAUAUAUCAUACUAAAGUAUCUGGCAAGCUUUUUAUUGUAGGAUAAAAAAUGAAACAGGCAAAUAUAGUAAUGCAAUCUAAAGAUCUCUGAACAUUUCUUUUUUUUUUUAAAUUGAAUUAGUGUCUCAUUUUCCCAUUAAUCAGUAGGCCAUAUCUCCUUCUGAUCCUAUAAAUCUAAUGUAGAGCGAGAUACAUUUCCAGAUGUCUCUAGCACAAACACCUUAUUCUGUGGAAAUUGCAGAAAUACUUUUCUCUCCAUGACAGUCUCCCUUUAGAAAUACCCUUACACCACGUGGAGUUACUUUUGUUUAAAUUGGAUGUGCCAGUGCAGGGAAAUACAAACACUACAAACAUCCGCUGUGUAGCAACUAAAUCUGAUUUAACCAUCAUGAUCAAAAUGAGAAAGGCAUUCUCUGCAGAUCUCCAUAAUGUAAAUCAAAAACAUAUUUAGGGGCAUGGCUUAAAGUAAGAGCCUCACAAAGACUGUUCAGACUGAACGUAAUAUAUAGGAUUGCUCCUCUAUUCUUUGUUGUUUCAUCCAAAGGGUUAAGGUUACUGAGAGAAGAGGUAAAAUUCAAUCAUUACAGUACCAUAUUUGCAUUAUCCUUUCAUCUCUCUGUCUCCAGUUCUCAGACGCCUUUUGUGCCUCCUGAUGCGAUUUAAAACCCUAUUAACACAAACAAUUGCUGCAGCUUUAUCAGGGGGAUGGUGUGUGCCUAUGAACCCACUGCUGCACCUGUAUUAUAAUCAGCAAGCCAGCAGGCUCUGCCUAAAGCCAGUCCCCUGAGAAAGGGGCCUGAAUGUGGGUCCAUAGCCCUGAGCUUCCAGCAGGAGCAACUGGAACUCUGUGCCUGUGGAGCCAGGGCUGGAGAACACCCUGAGGUCCCUUGCUCUUGCCCAACAUAUAUUGUUGUAAAGGGAGUCAUUCAGAUUGAAAUUACGCUCCCAGAUUUCUUUUAUAACCAGUGGAGAGCAGGCACCAUCAAAAGAUGCCUCACCUAGCCCUAAAGUGCGGGCCUGCGCUAGGUGUCAUCAAAAGCUCUUCAGAGGUCGCUAAUCUGACUACAGGAGAAGAAGAAGUCAUUGCCUCUAACUCAUAAGAAAUAAGAGAAAAACUUUCUCUUUUUCUGAGAAAAACUUUCUUUCCCCUGAUUAACUGCCCACCAGCACCUUCUUCUCAUGAACAGAAAAAUUAUUUGCAAAGCAAAAUUAUCUACAAAGUAAACUAAAAAUAAUUACAAAGCUGCUAGAACUGCAGGCAUAUAGCUUCCAUCAGUAAGGUUUUACUGAUUUCCUCUAGCUAAGCUUGGUGGUAUGUGCCUAACUGAGGUAUGGCAUUGCAUCACAUGACUGCUUAAAAAUUAUCCCAGUAUUUAUCUGUCAAUCUGUCUUUUAGUUCCCUUUGGAAUUGUUCAUUUAUUUAUGCGCUGCAAAACUCUGUACAAUGGAUGGAAAUAAAAACUCCCAAUUCCAAUCCUACAAAACAUCCUAAUAGUUGUAGGUUCCUGAGGUAUUGUAGCCACACCUGUGUGAUCCUACACCAAAUUGACUUUCUCCACGGAAGACCAGGGCUUGUUAGUCAAGUCAUAGUGGUAGUCAGAAACAAUGACUUUAUAUUUUGGAUUAAAAUAAUAUGUCUUUGUCUUGCACUGGAUGGUUGCACACAUGGCUCAUGUUAGAUCUGGUAUGAGUAUGUUUUGAUUUUUAUGUGAUGCAGAUUUGUCCAUUGAAAGACAAUAUUUCCUUAGGAAAAAACACCACAAAUCAGGACUUGAGGCCAAGAAUUGACAUAUUUUUGUAUCUCUCUAUAUAUACAUUCUUCUCUAGGAACACAGACAUGAAAAUAAUGAAAUUGUGAAGAAGGGAACAGAAGAAUUUUUACACCUCAUAGGAAACAAUUUUAGGGUUCAGUCAUCCCAUUGUGCUUAAGCAUGUGCUUUGAUUUUUAACAGUUGUGAAAGUUAUGCAAAAAUGAAUGCAAAUUAAUGGCAGAAGAACCAGAUUAAUGUUACUAGAGGAGGGCAGAGAGGCAAAGGAGAGGACAGGGAAGCAGGGCAUUAUGGCAGGUCAAAGGCACUGCUGUGUUAGCCAGCUGCCAAAAGGGUAAAGUGGGGACAUGCUGCUUCUGGCCCAUCAAACCACCAAGAAAAAGCAUGCCUGUGUAACAUGAGUGCAAAAAAAUCUGGUGCUAUAGGCAGAUUGUUAAAGUGUUAUUAACUGUUAUGGCAACUGUUAAGUCCACAUAAUCUGAAAAGGGGAACGAAAAAUCUAAUUUGUGUCCUGUGAAGAUAGCUAGUGACAGCUACAUAACUCUCCUUAUUCAGCCCUUUUCUGGGCUGCACUGGAUUUGUUGCUGUGACCGAGCAAAUGCAGGGCCAGUGGCAAAUAAAUAUAAUCAGUGGGUAAAGUCUUGAAAAAUCAACAUCAGAAGCUGACAUUUGGAGUUAGAUCUUGUGUUUAUAUGUGACAACCUUUUGACAGUAAUGUCUAUAGUUUAACACAAAGGAUUCAGCAUAGACCUCCCAAGGUGUUUAAUCAUCUAAAUCCUCCUGUCAUUCAAAAUUCCAGAUUCAACCCUCUAGUUAUCUGCUGUACCAAACCCAGCAUCAUCCUGUAUGGACAUAUUAUGAAAGAGCAAAGGCUCAGAAUCCCUUUGCAUAACAUGGAACAGUUUAUGAGAACAUAGGAUUAAAAAAAUACUAGAGAAAGUCUUCAAGAGGUUAUUUGGCUCACAGAGCAAAUAUAUUUGGCUUCUGGACUAUAUGUUUCACAAACUUGUCAGUCUGUCCACAAGAUUUGAAAACACAGCCAUUGAUUUUGUAAGCUGCUUUUGGCACUUGCACAAAUAUUGGAGUAGCUUUUCAAAAAGUUAAGCAUCUUGUAGUCAAAAGAACAGUUUCUAAGUGAACUUAUCUGCUCUUACUAAAUCUGCUUCGCUGAAAAAAUCAUGGUUAUUCCAGGAAUGGUAGCUACAUACUGAUUUACUGAUGCAAGCUUUUCUCUUUGAGACUUAGGUCAGAGAUAGCAUAUGUUGCAUUUUAUUCAUGUGGCAGCAUGACAUUGUGGAAGACCUAUUAAUAUUACUACUUAGUAUAGGUAAGAUAGUAAUAUAGAGAUUGUAAGUCUCAAUAUUAGGGCAUUAUCAUUGCCCUUACAGGGUUGCCCAAGCCCUUGGCACACAAAUUUGAAUUUCACCUCUACAUCCCACAGAACAUCCUACAUGAUGUUGGUGCAUCUUACAGAUGUUAAGCUAUUAAAGAGUUGACAUUAUUAGUUACAUUACACAAUAUUCAUAAUUAUUGCUUCCUCUGUCAGUAAAAUACAAGGGAGAGGAAAUGACAAAUUCAAAUAUCACCAGAUAUGCAUUAUACGUGUCUGGGAAGGAGAUGGAGCAAAUUCCCUUUCAGGCAGGGAUGCUGCUCAGGUUCUGUUACUCAGAUUGUUUUAUCUCUCAAUCUUAGCAGCACAAUCCUUCUGUAUCAGAUUAUUUAAAAAAUAUUUUUUAAAAUAUUUGACUCUUAACUCUCCUCUUCACCUUUGUUUCUAUCUAUUAUUGAACAAGCAUAUCUGAGCUACAAUUGCCCUGGAUAUGACAACAGGAAGAAACACAGCAGACUGGAGAGAUGCUGUCCUGGUAGGAAUAGGGCUGUGGCAUCCUGUAGACAUCACACAUGGCUCUGGCACUGGCUCUGGCUGACAGGAAUUACACAGUCACAGUUACAUAGUUGUUAAAAAUUAAUCAUUUUGAUCUCUAAACCCAUAGGCUAAAAUAAACCAAAAACACUUAGCCACCAACAUUCCAAGGACAAAGAACACUUGCUCCAGUGCAUUUUGGGAAAUAUUGAGAGAAUUAAGCUUCCAUAAAACAGGUUAGAAUCAUAAACGAAUUAACAUAUGACAGUGAUGAAGUCUCUUCUCCCACCAAGAAUGGUAUUGUUUUACAAGACCAUUAUUUCAACAUUAUUUCACAGAGACUGUGAACAAAACCCAAAUUCAGAUCCACACAUUGUUUGACUGCCUAAAGCCUACAAGAACAUGCUGGAGGUCCAAGAUUAGAGACCUAAAUUACUUUGCAGAUUCAGCUUUUGAUCUUGUUCUCUAACUUUCAUUUUCCUUUGUAGAUUUUGAUUGAGGAUAUCAUGUAUGUAUUGACUGUUGUCUUUUCUUUGGUGCAAGAGAGCAUGUGACAUCUAGAUCCAGAUAUCUAGAAAAUGCAAUAUUUUGAUCAUUGUAUAAAUAUCAUAGAUGAAAACUUGCUUUUGUUCUCACUACAGGACCAGAGUGAAAAAAUGUCCUUGGAAGAGAUAUAAUUCCAGAAGCAGUUGGACUGCUUUCCUAGAAUAACUAAAAAUGCAUCAAUGGGCAUCCCAUAAUUAUAAACUAGUAAGAAUACAUGAGUUACUUUUUGUAGCAGGUGCAAAUACACACUACACUUAUAUCCAUGAAAUCCAGCAAUAUGUAUGGUCCUUGUCUGGAUAGUCAUGCUGAAGAAAUUAUGAAGGGCUUGCACAUAGCCUGCAGCCUGCUGAAUCUAAUUCUUACUUUUUUCCUUGAAGGACUAUAUCUUGAUUUUGCUGUGAACAAGUGUCUUUCACACCUGCUCUGAAAAAGAGCCUAUGCACUGCACCAUUUAAAAGUAAUAUCUCACCUUGAACUGCAGUGACAUUUUUGGAGAAUUGACAGAAGUUUUUCUUGGGCCUUUCUCCAGAGUUCAGCAGCUCCCAGGUUUUUACCAAGUUCAUCGCAGAACCCACAGUCGUUUUUACCUCAUUUUUUUACCCUGUCUUAGUAGAAGCUGUGGCUCUUAGCUCCUGAACAUCUUUCUCUGAACUUCGUGGUGAAAACACACAUGACUACACAGUUAGAGGCAGAAUAAUGCUAUUGCUUGCAUUGUAGAAUACAGAUAGUUAAAGAAUAUAGAUUAUUAUUGCAUUAAGCCAUCUUGUCUUCUCAAAUGUGUCUUAUUUCUGUUUUUCAGGAUGCAGAGAGUUCUCAGUUGUUUUAAGGUGAUAACGAGUAGAAUUGGGUACUUCUAGUGGAUACUUGUGAAGGAGAAUUAGGUUUAGAAGCAAGACGAGAGGGUUCAGAGGGAUUGCAGGGGAUUUCUGUGGGUGUCAGCAACACGCGAGCAGAAAUGACUCCAUGUGCAUGCAGCAGUUCUCUCUCACUCAUCUAUGCAUGUCAAACUGCAAUGCUGUGCACAAGAGGGAACUCAUGAGUAUCUUGGCUGAAAGAAAAUUCAAAUUGCCCUAGACCUGCACUGUUUUGAGUAGGAUGGUGAUACUUAUGUGUGUUUACUUUGUCUGAAAAUACUUUGUGAGUUACAGAGUUCAUGGGCAGCUCAGUCAAGAAAUUAAGCACUACUUUAAAAAGAAAAUAAAUUUGCAAGCAAUAUUGAGUCUGGAUGUUAGUGGUAUUUCUCAAGUUCAUAUUAUGCUUAGAAUGUAUUCUCCAAACCUACAUAAAUUAUGUUUUGAUAGUGGUAAUAGGAGAAAUAUUGAAUGAGUUUUGAAUUAAUGUCUGUGUAUUAAUUGCUAAAUGUGUCAGGCUUCUAGUUUCCCUAGCUAUAAAUUUUUUUAUGGUUGAGAGAGUAGAGACUGGUUAUUUUUUUAGUGUAGUGUUGAUGACUAAGAUGGACUGGAAACAUCAUUUUUUAUAUCUAUAUGUAUUCAUGAAAGUAAAAAGAAUAACGGAUACUUCUUUUGGCACAUUUGUUUCCUUUAAUGGUUUGAGUAUUACUCAGAAAUAGUUUAAUUAUGUGACCUCAUAUUAUGUUUGAAUUACCUUCCCUCUGCUGAUUAAUCAAGCUGCAUGAUGACAAACAAAGCCCAGUACUAUUCAUAUCUCCUGUUAUCAAGGAAAAAGAGAAUAGUGACAAAUUAAAUAUCAGUUAUUAUCAAUGAGAGAUUUAUAUUUGCCAUCAAUAGAGGUGAAUGUAUCAGUCUACAUGAUCCUGCGAGUUUUUUCCUAUGAUUCUAUUCCCAUGAAUCUUUAUUGCUAUUGAUGGAAAAUAGGAACUCACAACCUGAUUCACAGAUCCUGAUUUAACAGAACCAGUAAACACUUUAGGAAAUUGGAUAAAGUCUCUCUUAUACACGGUCCAUGGCUGAAAAGUAGGGGUUUAUAUCAUAUGGUAAGCAGCAAGCCUGAAUGUUCAAAAUCAGAUAUUUUCAACAAAGUAUAACCAAACAGAUAAACUAGUGCCAGAUUAGAGCCCACCUUCUUUUUUUUUUUUUUUUUUUUUUUACAGGUUUCCAUGGCACAUGAAAUUCAGUACACUAAACACUAAAUUACAAGGGAGAGUAAGGGUUACUACACA
RNAcentral lists this long non-coding RNA (7516 nucleotides) under Taeniopygia guttata (zebra finch). RNAcentral describes it as "lncRNA (ENSTGUG00000028669.1)". Lineage: Eukaryota; Metazoa; Chordata; Aves; Passeriformes; Estrildidae. The record is from RNAcentral.